This 119-nucleotide ribosomal RNA is filed under the name Triticum aestivum (bread wheat). The record is from RNAcentral. Lineage: Eukaryota; Viridiplantae; Streptophyta; Magnoliopsida; Poales; Poaceae.
GGAUGUGAUCAUACCAGCACUAAAGCACCGGAUCCCAUCAGAACUCCGAAGUUAAGCGUGCUUGGGCGAGAGUAGUACUAGGAUGGGUGACCUCCUGGGAAGUCCUCGUGUUGAAUUCC